GGCGAGAUGGCCGAGCGGUCUAAGGCGCCAGACUAAGGCAUUUGAACGAUUGGUUCAUAGCAUAUCUGGUCCGAAAGGGCGUGGGUUCGAAUCCCACUCUCGUCA
Molecule: non-coding RNA, 105 nt
Organism: Trametes elegans
Lineage: Eukaryota; Fungi; Basidiomycota; Agaricomycetes; Polyporales; Polyporaceae
Source: the annotation of a GenBank genome assembly